GAUGCAAGCUCGAGGCUUCUUGAUCCUAUGUGUUGUAUUGAGUGUUGGUCACUGGUCUUUGGGAAGCUUGGACAGAAGUGGGGCAGCCAUGGAGCUGCUGACUGGGACUGGCCUGUGGCCCGUGGUCAUAGUCACAGUCAUCUUCAUAUUACUGGUGGACAUGUUGCACCGGUGCCAGCGCUGGACUUCUUGCUGCCCACCAGACCCUGUGCCAUGGCCUGUGCUGGGUAACCUGCUGCAGGUGGACCUGGAUAACAUGCCAUAUAACUUGUACAAGCUUCACAACCGCUAUGGUGACGUGUUCAGCCUGCAGAUGGGCUGGAACCACAUGGCCGUGAUCAACGGACUGAAGGUGUGGUCCUUGCUCCUUAUGGGCCUGAGUGGAAAGAGCAGAGGUGAUUCUCUGCGUCGACCCUGUGCAACUUCAGCCUGGGCAAGAAAUCACUGGAGCAGUGGGUGAUGGAAGAGGUUGGACACCUCUUUGAUGUCUUCACUGCCCAUGCUGGGAGUCCCCUCAAUCCUUACCCUCUCUUGGACAAAGCCGUGUGCAAUGUGAUUGUGUCUCUCAUUUAUGCCCAUCGCUUCGAGUAUGGAGACCCUGACUUCAUCAAGAUGCUAAAAAGGAGGCUGUAGACAAGAGAUUUGGAAAGAACACAUCUAGAAGUGUCCACCACAGUAAUAGGAGCCUGGAGAUUGACAUACAGCAAAAGGAAGUGAGAAGCUGACCAAGGUCAGGGCUUCUAGAAGCUGAGACCCUGGCCCUCUGCCCACAUGGAACAUCUGUGAGAUUUUCCAGGGUUGGCUGACAAAGUCUUCCCUGGGCAAAAGACAUUUCUCAUAAUGGUGGAUAAGCUGGUGACUGAGCACAAGAGGACCUGGAACUCGGACCAGCCGCCUCGAGACCUGACUGAUGCCUUUAUGGCUGAGAUGGAGAAGGCAAAGGGAAACCCUGAGAGUAGCUUCAAUGAUGCAAAUCUAUGUCUGGUUGUCCUUGACCUGCUGGGUGCUGCAACUGUGACCACCUCAACCACACUGUCCUGGGCCCUGCUGCUUAUGAUCCUGCAUCCGGAUGUGCAGUGCCAAGUACAACAGGAAAUCGAUGAGGUCAUUUGGUAUGUGUGGCUUCCAGAGAUGGCAGACCAGGUCUGCAUGCCCUUCACCAAUGCUGUCAUUCAUGAGGGCAUGACUCUCAUCUCCAACCUGUUCCGUGCUGAAGGAUGAGACUGUCUGGGAGAAGCCCCUUCGCUUCCAUCCUGAACACUUCCUGGAUGCCCAGGGCCACUUUGUGAAGCCUGAGGCCUUCAUGCCAUUCUCAGCAGGCCACAGAUCAUGCCUGGGGGAGCCCCUGGCCCUCAUGGAGCUCUUCCUCUUCUUCACCUGCCUCCUGCAGCGCUUUAGCUUCUCAAUGCCAGCUGGACAAUCCCUUCCCAGUGAUUAUGGCAUCUAUACAAUGCCAGUUACUCCAGCACCUACCAGCUCUGUGCAGUGGUUUGCUAGCAGGGGCAGUGGCUCCAGCCAUCAUCACAGAUUGUUCUGACUGAUGUCCAAUAAACAAGUUUUGUGUCU
RNAcentral lists this long non-coding RNA (1566 nucleotides) under Mus musculus (house mouse). RNAcentral describes it as "novel transcript". The record is from RNAcentral. Lineage: Eukaryota; Metazoa; Chordata; Mammalia; Rodentia; Muridae.